RNAcentral lists this ribosomal RNA (898 nucleotides) under uncultured bacterium. RNAcentral describes it as "partial 16S ribosomal RNA". The record is from RNAcentral.
GUUUUAACCUUGCGGCCGUACUCCCCAGGCGGUCGACUUAUCGCGUUAGCUGCGCCACUAAGAUCUCAAGGAUCCCAACGGCUAGUCGACAUCGUUUACGGCGUGGACUACCAGGGUAUCUAAUCCUGUUUGCUCCCCACGCUUUCGCACCUCAGUGUCAGUAUCAGUCCAGGUGGUCGCCUUCGCCACUGGUGUUCCUUCCUAUAUCUACGCAUUUCACCGCUACACAGGAAAUUCCACCACCCUCUACCGUACUCUAGCUCAGUAGUUUUGGAUGCAGUUCCCAGGUUGAGCCCGGGGAUUUCACAUCCAACUUGCUGAACCACCUACGCGCGCUUUACGCCCAGUAAUUCCGAUUAACGCUUGCACCCUUCGUAUUACCGCGGCUGCUGGCACGAAGUUAGCCGGUGCUUAUUCUGUUGGUAACGUCAAAACAGCAAGGUAUUAACUUACUGCCCUUCCUCCCAACUUAAAGUGCUUUACAAUCCGAAGACCUUCUUCACACACGCGGCAUGGCUGGAUCAGGCUUUCGCCCAUUGUCCAAUAUUCCCCACUGCUGCCUCCCGUAGGAGUCUGGACCGUGUCUCAGUUCCAGUGUGACUGAUCAUCCUCUCAGACCAGUUACGGAUCGUCGCCUUGGUAGGCCUUUACCCCACCAACUAGCUAAUCCGACCUAGGCUCAUCUGAUAGCGUGAGGUCCGAAGAUCCCCCACUUUCUCCCUCAGGACGUAUGCGGUAUUAGCGCCCGUUUCCGGACGUUAUCCCCCACUACCAGGCAGAUUCCUAGGCAUUACUCACCCGUCCGCCGCUGAAUCCAGGAGCAAGCUCCCUUCAUCCGCUCGACUUGCAUGUGUUAGGCCUGCCGCCAGCGUUCAAUCUGAGCCAGGAUCAAACCCUC